GGGAUGGCGGCGGAGCAGGACCCCGAGGGGCGCGCGGCGGCGCGGCCGCUCCUCACUGACCUCUACCAGGCCACCAUGGCGCUGGGCUAUUGGCGCGCGGGCCGGGCGCGGGACGCCGCCGAGUUCGAGCUCUUCUUCCGCCGCUGCCCGUUCGAUGGCGCCUUCGCCUUGGCCGCCGGCUUGCGCGACUGUGUGCGCUUCCUGCGCGCCUUCCGCCUGCGGGACGCCGGUAGUCCCCCGCCCGCGCGACGAGCCCCCACGCCCGACGGAAGCCCCCACCCCGGGAGCCGCCCAUGCCCGACGGAAACCCCCACCCCACGAUCCCCCCACGCCCGACAGAAGUCCCCACCUGUGGCCGGUGGAAGUCCCUGUCCCCCAAUGGAACCCACCCAUGUCCCACGACCGGCCUGUCCCCGCGCUGGUCUCAGCGCAGUUACCUCGUUUCCAGACGUGCAGUUCCUGGCCUCGGUGCUGCCCCCAGACACGGACCCUGCGUUCUUCGAGCACCUUCGGGCCCUCGACUGCUCCGAGGUGACGGUGCGAGCCCUGCCCGAGGGCUCCCUCGCCUUCCCGGGCGUGAGUAGGGGUAAGCGGGCGGCGCGGCGGCCACGGGGUGCUGGGCCGAGCGCGGAGCUGACUUCGCUCCCCGCAGGUGCCGCUCCUGCAGGUGUCCGGGCCGCUCCUGGUGGUGCAGCUGCUGGAGACACCGCUGCUCUGCCUGGUCAGCUACGCCAGCCUGGUGGCCACCAACGCAGCGCGGCUUCGCUUGAUCGCAGGGCCAGAGAAGCGGCUGCUAGAGAUGGGCCUGAGGCGGGCUCAGGGCCCCGAUGGGGGCCUGACAGCCUCCACCUACAGCUACCUGGGCGGU
RNAcentral lists this small RNA (868 nucleotides) under Pongo abelii (Sumatran orangutan). RNAcentral's name for it is "retained intron". The record is from RNAcentral. Lineage: Eukaryota; Metazoa; Chordata; Mammalia; Primates; Hominidae.